AACGCCGCGUGAGUGAAGAAGGUUUUCGGAUCGUAAAGCUCUGUUGUUGGUGAAGAAGGCCUUAGGGUUGUAAAGUUCUGUCAUAUGGGAAGAUAAUGACGGUACCAUAUGAGGAAGCCACGGCUAACUACGUGCCAGCAGCCGCGGUAAUACGUAGGUGGCAAGCGUUGUCCGGAUUUACUGGGCGUAAAGGAUGCGUAGGCGGACAUUUAAGUCAGAUGUGAAAUACCCGGACUCAACUUGGGUGCUGCAUUUGAAACUGGGUGUCUAGAGUGCAGGAGAGGAAAGCGGAAUUCCUAGUGUAGCGGUGAAAUGCGUAGAGAUUAGGAAGAACACCAGUGGCGAAGGCGGCUUUCUGGACUGUAACUGACGCUGAGGCAUGAAAGCGUGGGGAGCAAACA
RNAcentral lists this ribosomal RNA (401 nucleotides) under uncultured Clostridium sp. RNAcentral's name for it is "bacterial SSU rRNA". It matches the Rfam family "Bacterial small subunit ribosomal RNA", at positions 393 to 774 of the family's 1533-position model. Lineage: Bacteria; Bacillati; Bacillota; Clostridia; Eubacteriales; Clostridiaceae. The record is from RNAcentral.